Tricharina praecox is the source of this 105-nucleotide non-coding RNA. NCBI's taxonomy places the organism in Eukaryota, Fungi, Ascomycota, Pezizomycetes, Pezizales, Pyronemataceae. The record is from the annotation of a RefSeq genome assembly.
UCCUUCGUGGCGCAAUUGGCUAGCGCGUUCGACUGUUACCUUAGUUACCGCAUCUGUGGUUGUUCGGUCAUCGAGAGGUUGGUGGUUCAAGCCCACCCGAAGGAG